Molecule: non-coding RNA, 1071 nt
Organism: Elaeis guineensis (African oil palm)
Lineage: Eukaryota; Viridiplantae; Streptophyta; Magnoliopsida; Arecales; Arecaceae
Source: RefSeq, a predicted model, not a curated record
CGCUGGUUCUUCUUCGCACGAGCCUCAUUCUCUUCGUUUCCCGUUACCGGUCACGCAGAGGCGGGAGAUAUGGGAAGUGGGAUAAAUGUGAAGGGCGUGGUCUCCGCCAAGAGCUGUUGCCAUCCUCAUCGAUGCUUCUUCCAGCGUCGGCCCUCUCCGCCACCUCCUCCUCUCCUCUUCUUUCUCCCCGCUUCCAAAUUCCAGGCCCCGAUCCCCAGCUUGCGGAUGUCUAACUCGCAAAGAGCAAUCAGACAUGUCAUCUGUUUGAGUGGAACAAACUCUGCAGACAAUUAUGCGCCGGACGAUAGCACAUCUUCAUCUAAGGAAGCAGCUUUUGAUAUAGCACUUCCCAGGAGAAGUUUGAUGGUGCAGUUCACAUGUGAUGCCUGUGGUGAAAGAACUCGGCGUCUUAUCAACAGAUUAGCCUAUGAGCGUGGGACUGUUUUCGUACAGUGUGCAGGGUGUCUUGUGUAUCACAAAUUUGUUGACAACCUUGGUCUUGUGGUUGAGUAUGAUCUUCGGGAGGAGCUACAUGGAGAUUCUGAUGGUAUUGCAGAGGCUGGGACUUCUAAUUCCGAAAGCUGAAAUAUGUCAUGGAUAUCUAGUGCCUGCCCAAUCUACCGUUCCUAGAAGCUUCAUGGUCCAAAACUCAGCAUGGGCAAGGGCUAGGCAACAGAAGGGAAGCCAUCUCCUUGACCUAAAAAAAAAUCAAGUCAGUCUUUUGUUCUGCUCUUCAAACCCUACAGCUUUUCAACUUAACACAAAUCAAGGUAUUCAUCUCUUUCUCCGCUGUUAUUGCUCCCCAUGUCGGGCACCCGUCUUAAGGUUGACGUUCCCUCUCUCGUGGCAAGGGAGCGGACGAAGACGAAUGACGGUGUUGGUGCGGCUGUGCGGAUCUGGUUCCUUUGGCACCGCACCAAGGUCCAGGGUCUCAAGGUGCGGUCAGUCACGGUAUUUCACCACCGAUGUGGGCCCUCGCCAUCUAUGUAGCUUUUGCCGGGCUGUUUUCUUUCCAUUUUAAUUUUUUUUUCUCGCUAAAAUCUUGAUUCCUUUUCUUAUGUAUGAACAAUU